RNAcentral lists this ribosomal RNA (438 nucleotides) under uncultured bacterium. Its description in RNAcentral is "partial 16S ribosomal RNA". It matches the Rfam family "Bacterial small subunit ribosomal RNA", at positions 339 to 795 of the family's 1533-position model. The record is from RNAcentral.
CUACGGGCCGCUGCAGUGGGGAAUAUUGCACAAUGGAGGAAACUCUGAUGCAGCAACGCCGCGUGGAGGAUGACACUUUUCGGAGCGUAAACUCCUUUUAUAUAGGAAGAAGAUGACGGUACUAUAUGAAUAAGCGCCGGCUAACUCCGUGCCAGCAGCCGCGGUAAUACGGAGGGCGCAAGCGUUACUCGGAAUCACUGGGCGUAAAGAGCGUGUAGGCGGAUUAAAAAGUCAGAAGUGAAAUCCUAUAGCUUAACUAUAGAACUGCUUCUGAAACUCUUAAUCUAGAAUAUGGGAGAGGUAGUUGGAAUUUCUGGUGUAGGGGUAAAAUCCGUAGAGAUCAGAAGGAAUACCGAUUGCGAAGGCGAUCUACUAGAACAUUAUUGACGCUGAGACGCGAAAGCGUGGGGAGCAAACAGGAUUAAUACCCUCGUAGUC